CUCAACUCCAGACCAGCAAGAAAAACCGCAUAGAUUGAGUCUGUUCGGGGUAGCCGGAAUUCUCGGUGGAGGGGUGAAAUCCGUAGAUAUCGAGAGGAACGCCAAUCGCGAAGGCAAGUUACUAGAACAUGACUGACGCUCAGGGACGAAAGCUAGGGUAGCAAAAGGGAUUAGAGACCCCUGUAGUCCUAGCCGUAAACGAUCUUUGCUAGAUGCCCCUCCUUAGGGGGGGUGACGCAAGCUAACGCGUUAAGCAAAGCGCCUGGGGAGUACGGCCGCAAGGCUAAAACUCAAAGGAAUUGACGGGGGAACGCACAACCGGUGGAGCAUGUGGUUUAAUUCGAUACAAAGCGAAAAACCUUACCCGGGUUUGACAUGUACCUGCACGUUCUGGGAAACCAGAAUUUCUUCGAGAGUGG
RNAcentral lists this ribosomal RNA (419 nucleotides) under uncultured bacterium. Its description in RNAcentral is "bacterial SSU rRNA". It matches the Rfam family "Bacterial small subunit ribosomal RNA", at positions 608 to 1030 of the family's 1533-position model. The record is from RNAcentral.